GACUACCGGGGUAUCUAAUCCUGUUUGCUACCCACGCUUUCGCUCCUCAGCGUCAGUUACGGCCCAGAGCGCCGCCUUCGCCGCUGGUGUUCCUCCUGAUAUCUGCGCAUUUCACCGCUACACCAGGAAUUCCACGCUCCCCUACCGGACUCAAGCCACAGCAGUAUCGGGUGGCGUCUCUGGGUUGAGCCCAGAGUUUUCACACCCGACUUACCGAGCCGCCUACGAGCUCUUUACGCCCAAUAAAUCCGGACAACGCUUGCCCCCUACGUGUUACCGCGGCUGCUGGCACGUAGUUGGCCGGGGCUUCUUCUGUAGGUACCGUCAAUUUCGUCCCUACUGAAAGCGGUUUACAACCCGAAGGCCUUCAUCCCGCACGCGGCGUUGCUGCGUCAGGCUUUCGCCCAUUGCGCAAGAUUCCCCACUGCUGCCGCCCGUAGG
Molecule: ribosomal RNA, 441 nt
Filed under: uncultured Acidimicrobiales bacterium
Lineage: Bacteria; Bacillati; Actinomycetota; Acidimicrobiia; Acidimicrobiales
Description: partial 16S ribosomal RNA
Source: RNAcentral